This 373-nucleotide unclassified non-coding RNA is filed under the name soil metagenome. Its description in RNAcentral is "partial contains 5.8S ribosomal RNA, internal transcribed spacer 2, and large subunit ribosomal RNA". The stretch from base 1 to 121 matches the Rfam family "5.8S ribosomal RNA", at positions 35 to 154 of the family's 154-position model. The record is from RNAcentral.
GAUGAAGAACGUAGCGAAAUGCGAUAAGUAAUGCGAAUUGCAGAAUUCCAGUGAGUCAUCGAAUCUUUGAACGCACAUUGCGCCCUUUGGUAUUCCGAAGGGCAUGCCUGUUCGAGCGUCAUUAUCACCCCUCAAGCCCUCGGCUUGGUGUUGGACGGUUUGGUGGAGGCCCCCUCGGGGGCUCCUGCCCCUCCCAAAGACAAUGACGGCGGCCUCGUUGGACCCCCGGUACACUGAGUUCUUCACGGGACACGUAUCGGACACAUGGGUUUACGGGACACGGUCUGCCUCCCCUCAGGGAGAAUCUUUCUAAGGGUGACCUCGGAUCAGGUAGGGAUACCCGCUGAACUUAAGCAUAUCAAUAAGCGGAGGA